UUUUGGACAAUGGGCGAAAGCCUGAUCCAGCCAUUCCGCGUGAGUGAAGAAGGCCUUCGGGUUGUAAAGCUCUUUCGCAAGGGAAGAAACGAUGCAGUCGAAUAAACUGUGUUAAUGACGGUACCUUGAUAAGAAGCACCGGCUAACUACGUGCCAGCAGCCGCGGUAAUACGUAGGGUGCAAGCGUUAAUCGGAAUUACUGGGCGUAAAGCGUGCGCAGGCGGUUUUGUAAGUCAGAUGUGAAAUCCCCGAGCUCAACUUGGGAACUGCGUUUGAAACUACAAGACUAGAAUAUGUCAGAGGGGGGUAGAAUUCCACGUGUAGCAGUGAAAUGCGUAGAGAUGUGGAGGAAUACCAAUGGCGAAGGCAGCCCCCUGGGAUAAUAUUGACGCUCAUGCACGAGA
This 404-nucleotide ribosomal RNA is filed under the name uncultured bacterium. Its description in RNAcentral is "bacterial SSU rRNA". It matches the Rfam family "Bacterial small subunit ribosomal RNA", at positions 362 to 758 of the family's 1533-position model. The record is from RNAcentral.